CUGUCCUUUGAAUACAUGGUAUAAUCAUGAGAUAGUAUAACAAACAAAAUCAAGCAUUUUAAUUAUGACUUAUAUAAUUAUGAUCAUGAAUUUUAACAUCUUCGCUAGCCAAGGGUAACGAUCCACUCCCGCUCUCUUCACCCUUGGCGGAUUGAGAUACUAUUUCGGAGACACAAGGUAAGGAUUUUUAUUGGUUGCAGUAGAAACUCGCUGCAUCCAAUCAAAAAGCGCCUAUAACAUGAUCAAGUGUAAAUAUAGAAAGUGUUUGUAAACACUUGCCACGUGUUUAUUGUGCAACAAGUCUUUACAUCACUAAACAUACGACUAUAUUUAGUGACAACUUGAAUGUUUUUAAUCAACUAAUAGAAGUUCCUGUGUAUGUUUCAUGCACAAAUGCAUGAAUGUUGACGUAUAUUUUCGUUUCCUGCUUUACCAAGUGGGUAGAAUCUAGACGCUUCCGUGUUUUUACCUCUAAAUUGAAGAGUUCAAGUGCUACCAUUGGUCAAGAAUAAUGUAUUCGAUAUGGGCGUGACUUUAAUCUUCCGAUAGAUGGCGCAACAUAGAUAUCACAAAUGUUGGCUCAAUCUGCCAAGGGUGAAGAGAGCGGGAGUGGAUGGUAACCCUUGGCUAGCGAAGAUGGAAUUUUAAAGUACUUGUAAUCAACUCGUAAUGAUCUCAAUGGUAAUAGACAAGUAUUAUCAUUCAAUAUUUGUUUAUUCAAACAUGAAUUACAGCCAUUUAGGUUAAAAUGGGCCAAGAAUAUUCCCCCAAAAAAUACUCAUUAUUGUUCAGGGGUUUCAUUAUCU
Molecule: long non-coding RNA, 806 nt
Filed under: Mytilus galloprovincialis (Mediterranean mussel)
Lineage: Eukaryota; Metazoa; Mollusca; Bivalvia; Mytilida; Mytilidae
Source: RNAcentral